GAAAUGCGAUAAGUAAUGUGAAUUGCAGAAUUCAGUGAAUCAUCGAGUCUUUGAACGCACAUUGCGCCCCCUGACAUUCCGGGGGGCAUGCCUGUCCGAGCGUCAUUGCUGCCCUUCAAGCCCGGCUUGUGUGUUGGGUCGUCGUCCCCUCCGGGGGACGGGCCCGAAAGGCAGCGGCGGCACCGCGUCCGGUCCUCGAGCGUAUGGGGCUUUGUCACCCGCUCGAUAAGGACCGGCCGGGCGCCAGCCGGCGUCUCCAACCUUUUUUUCUCAGGUUGACCUCGGAUCAGGUAGGGAUACCCGCUGAACUUAAGC
RNAcentral lists this unclassified non-coding RNA (315 nucleotides) under plant metagenome. Its description in RNAcentral is "partial contains 5.8S ribosomal RNA, internal transcribed spacer 2, and large subunit ribosomal RNA". The stretch from base 1 to 105 matches the Rfam family "5.8S ribosomal RNA", at positions 50 to 154 of the family's 154-position model. The record is from RNAcentral.